AAAAAAAUUUUGUACUGACCCCUGAAUGGGAAGCCCAAAAAAUGUUGUUUAUCAUGCAGCUUUGCAAUAAGUUCCAAGUCCACAUAUUAUAUCAUUGUCUUGAUGAAAAUUGUUCAUUGCUUGAAAAAUAUUGGUCAAGGAGUGGCUGUGUGGUAAGUAGCUUGCUUAC
Octopus sinensis (East Asian common octopus) is the source of this 169-nucleotide long non-coding RNA. RefSeq lists it as uncharacterized. NCBI's taxonomy places the organism in Eukaryota, Metazoa, Mollusca, Cephalopoda, Octopoda, Octopodidae. The record is from RefSeq and is a predicted model, not a curated record. The transcript has 3 exons.